GACGAACGCUGGCGGCGUGCUUAACACAUGCAAGUCGAACGGAAAGGCCUGCUUUCCCUUGUGGAUUGCGGGUGCUCGAGUGGCGAACGGGUGAGUAACACGUGAGUGAUCUGCCCCCAACUUGAGUAUAAGCCUGGGAAACUGGGUCUAAUUCCCGAUAGGACUGCAGGGUGGUGCCUGUGGUGGAAAACGAUUUUCUAGUGGUUGGGGAUGAGCUCGCGGCCUAUCAGCUUGUUGGUGGGGUAAUGGCCUACCAAGGCGGCGACGGGUAGCCGGCCUGAGAGGGUGGACGGCCACAUUGGGACUGAGAUACGGCCCAGACUCCUACGGGAGGCAGCAGUGGGGAAUAUUGCACAAUGGGCGGAAGCCUGAUGCAGCGACGCCGCGUGGGGGAUGACGGCCUUCGGGUUGUAAACUCCUUUCGACCGCGAGGAAGCCACCUGGUUGGAAGGGUGGUGACGGUAGUGGUAGAAGAAGCACCGGCUAACUACGUG
RNAcentral lists this ribosomal RNA (494 nucleotides) under uncultured bacterium. Its description in RNAcentral is "partial 16S ribosomal RNA". It matches the Rfam family "Bacterial small subunit ribosomal RNA", at positions 28 to 507 of the family's 1533-position model. The record is from RNAcentral.